This 84-nucleotide transfer RNA is filed under the name uncultured Actinomycetes bacterium. Its description in RNAcentral is "uncultured actinobacterium tRNA-Leu". It matches the Rfam family "tRNA". From Rfam's summary of the family: Transfer RNA (tRNA) molecules are approximately 80 nucleotides in length. Their secondary structure includes four short double-helical elements and three loops (D, anti-codon, and T loops). Lineage: Bacteria; Bacillati; Actinomycetota; Actinomycetes. The record is from RNAcentral.
GUCCAGGUGGCGGAAUUGGCAGACGCGCUAGCUUGAGGGGCUAGUGACCGAUAGGUUGUAAGGGUUCAAAUCCCUUCCUCGGCA